This is a long non-coding RNA of Dermacentor albipictus, 458 nucleotides long. RefSeq lists it as uncharacterized. The record is from RefSeq and is a predicted model, not a curated record. NCBI's taxonomy places the organism in Eukaryota, Metazoa, Arthropoda, Arachnida, Ixodida, Ixodidae.
AACAUGCCGCAUGUGAAAUGUUUGAUAGAAGUGCCUCACGUCCAAGUCAAGCCGCCGUACGGGUGUAUGGCUGUGCGCCUCGUUCUCGGAAGCGUCGACGGGUUUCCGGCAUGCGGAUUUCAGCGUUUGGACUCGGCUUUUGGUGAGGAUGUCGAUCGACCUUGGGCCUGGUGACAGCACACCCGACAUCGCCAAAGUGCAGCCUAUCAGUUGAGUGCCCCUGAAUGGACCAUCAACAUCGGAAAAUGAAGCAGAGCCAGGGGAAAAGGUUCGGGUAACACCAUGCAUUCAGUAUGGUGGCCCAGAUGUGUAUGCAAGCAACCUCCUUCAUGUGGACCAAGAACUACUCUGCAGUGUCUCGCAGACUUCCACGCGAAGCCCUCAACGUUCUCGUCUCAGUGGAAUGGCUGCUCAUCUAUCUGCGUGUCCAUCACCAAGACGGCCAGUUGUAAAGCUCC